Molecule: long non-coding RNA, 687 nt
Filed under: Astyanax mexicanus (Mexican tetra)
Lineage: Eukaryota; Metazoa; Chordata; Actinopteri; Characiformes; Acestrorhamphidae
Description: lncRNA (ENSAMXG00005012120.1)
Source: RNAcentral
AUGGGAUUUCUGAAAUCAACAUCAAAGACCAGAAACUCAUGUUGCCUGCUCCUGGAAGCAAAUGCCAAGACCACAUAUGAAACCUCUGUCCCCUUUAGGGGUCAUGAAAAAAGCAAGAUGUGGAACUCCCAUUCAUUCACAAAUGCUAGGAGACAUUUUACUGUCCUUAUUUACAACAGCAAAACAAUAAGCCAAUACACAGCUAGAAUACGCAAGGUUCUCCUUAAGGACUGCUUCAUAGGGGACACAGUGACGUGAAAGCGACAUCCACAAACACGCAAACGGAGGCCAGGAGACGCUCUAGCCCGGUCUGGCUGAAGGCUUGGAGGGGGUGGGCUGCUGUAACAGCGCAGGCUUCAGCUUUACAGACCUCGUUGAACACAAACAGGGCAUCCCCAGGCUCCGGGAAACAGGCAGGCUGAUAGAAGGCCAGUGAUUGAUAAGUCUCCCCUGCUAGCACUUCGACAGCUCAUGUCGAGGAUCCAGUGAGUUUCGUAUCAAAUGUAUCAACUGCUCGCCAAAACAGCUCUUAUUUCAAUGACUACCCCCCUCCACCCCAUUCCCCCUCCCUGUCGCCAUUGCCAAUACAUCAAAACUCCCAUUCAGCCUCUCCAUUUGUUAUCCGCAUCUAUUUCCUGUCAAUAUAGUGUCAGUAAUAAAUCAUGUCCUGAUAAUGAUGGAAAACCA